GCAAAAUUGAGGCGGGCUGGAACCUCUCGGGGUUACAGCCUUGCUGAAUUAUUCACCCUUGUCUUUUGCGUACUUCUUGUUUCCUUGGUGGGUUCGCCCACCACUAGGACAAACAUAAACCUUUUGUAAUUGCAAUCAGCGUCAGUAACAAAUUAAUAAUUACAACUUUCAACAACGGAUCUCUUGGUUCUGGCAUCGAUGAAGAACGCAGCGAAAUGCGAUAAGUAGUGUGAAUUGCAGAAUUCAGUGAAUCAUCGAAUCUUUGAACGCACAUUGCGCCCUUUGGUAUUCCAAAGGGCAUGCCUGUUCGAGCGUCAUUUGUACCCUCAAGCUUUGCUUGGUGUUGGGCGUCUUGUCUCUAGCUUUGCUGGAGACUCGCCUUAAAGUAAUUGGCAGCCGGCCUACUGGUUUCGGAGCGCAGCACAAGUCGCACUCUCUAUCAGCAAAGGUCUAGCAUCCAUUAAGCCUUUUUUUCAACUUUUGACCUCGGAUCAGGUAGGGAUACCCGCUGAACUUAAGCAUAUCAAUAAGGCGGGAGGAA
RNAcentral lists this ribosomal RNA (541 nucleotides) under fungal sp. RTL12. Its description in RNAcentral is "eukaryotic LSU rRNA". The stretch from base 164 to 317 matches the Rfam family "5.8S ribosomal RNA". The record is from RNAcentral. Lineage: Eukaryota; Fungi.